GCAUUGGUGGUUCAGUGGUAGAAUUCACGCCUGCCACGCGGGAGCCCCGGGUUCGAUUCCUGGCCAAUGCA
RNAcentral lists this transfer RNA (71 nucleotides) under Dallia pectoralis (Alaska blackfish). Its description in RNAcentral is "tRNA-Gly". It matches the Rfam family "tRNA". From Rfam's summary of the family: Transfer RNA (tRNA) molecules are approximately 80 nucleotides in length. Their secondary structure includes four short double-helical elements and three loops (D, anti-codon, and T loops). Lineage: Eukaryota; Metazoa; Chordata; Actinopteri; Esociformes; Umbridae. The record is from RNAcentral.